AAAAAAUAUGCAAAAAUGGCGAUCUAGGGUUUUGAUGUAUUCUCGAAGAUGGGGUCCGAGUAUUUGCGUAGGAGAUUGGUUCAUCAAGGAGUUUCAAGAGCGCGAUUCGGAUGACUGGAAAAAAGGCUUUCCUUCAAAUCAAUCAGGGAUUGAUUUGAGAUUCAAUAAGGAGAAUUUGGGGAAGAUAAGAAAAUGGAAACUUUGGAUUGAUCGGUGCAGGGCCCCGAUCAUUAUCAAGCAAGAUCAGGCAAGAAGGAAUUGGUUUUUGGAGGUUUAUUUGGCUUAAUGGGUAUAAGGAAAGUAAUUCUUGUUUUGGUUCUUUGGAUUUUUGUUAAAUUUUGGAAUAAAAUUAGCUUCUGGUGUUUCUGGUACUUUAAUUUGCUGGGAGUAUUUGUUCAUCAUCAGAAUGGCUCUGUUACUUGGGCACGAAGAUGUGGAAACGUUUGGAGGCUGGUAUGUAUAAGGCAAAUUGUGUCUGUUGGUAUGGUGCUGUGGUCUGUUGGAAAACGCUUGGCUCUGUAUUUAGGUGUGUGGCAGGAACGGGUGAGAGUUGACAAGUUAUGGUGGAGGCCUUUACGGUUACGGAGAUGGGGCGAGAGAGGAUUGACAUGGCGUUUAAUGGAAUAUACUGAUUGGUACAAUGAUGGCUUUGAUCAACAACAUGAGUUUGAGAUGGUCAUGGAGUAUGAGAGGCUUCAAAACUUUGGUUUUUUUGGUGUUAUUAUGAUGUCAAUUGCGGGGAAAUACAUGUAUAAGGGGAAUGGAACAGUGGAUUUGGACAAUGUGUGGCACGUAAUACUGCACAUCUCAUUUUCUUUAUGCAAAGUCCUAUACGGUUGUCAUAAGGAAUUGUGGAAAAAUUGUACUUUCACUGGUGUAAUUGAGUCUAAACCUUUAUA
This is a long non-coding RNA of Brassica oleracea var. oleracea, 899 nucleotides long. RefSeq lists it as uncharacterized. Lineage: Eukaryota; Viridiplantae; Streptophyta; Magnoliopsida; Brassicales; Brassicaceae. The record is from RefSeq and is a predicted model, not a curated record. The transcript has 2 exons.